AGCCCUAAUUUCAGAAUCUCAGAUUGCGAACCUCUCAGCUCUCCAUGACUUCUCUUCAAUAUUCAGAAGCCCCAAGCUGCAAUCUGAGAGAAGGAUUAUAGUUAAUUCUUCUCGGGGAAGGAAAUUGACAAGUAGAAUAUAUGGUGGUGAUGGUUUACAGGUUGAACAAGAAGGAAGAAGGAUCAAGUUCUCUAGUUAUGUUGUUGGAUGAGACGAUCGAGGUUACAUCAAAUUGGGUUUGGUGGCCGAGAUAACAAUUCCCAACUACACUUGCUUUGAUGCUUUACUGUGAAUAUCAUGUGUUACUCCUAAAUAGUCAUCAUCAGUCUUUAUCGUAUGCCAUUAAGACAGUCAACUUUCCUUGCUUCUCAGGGAACUGCUCAGUGAACUAAGUUAAGAGGCCUUAUUCACAAGAAGUGCAUUAUCAAUCA
This is a long non-coding RNA of Cornus florida, 431 nucleotides long. RefSeq lists it as uncharacterized. Lineage: Eukaryota; Viridiplantae; Streptophyta; Magnoliopsida; Cornales; Cornaceae. The record is from RefSeq and is a predicted model, not a curated record. The transcript is spliced from 4 exons.